CAAAUUAACAUUUUGUGCCACCUUCUGACCUUUCUUUGGUUUUUUUUACUCCCAAAAGGGCAAGAAGUGUAAUACUUUCGACUGUAAUGGGGCGCAGUGUUACAAAACCAGUAAUCUUGGCAGUAAUGUCAUGCUGUGUCCAGUUGGUCGAGACUACUGCAAGCUACAAAAGACAACAUCUGGCAGUACAGAGAGCUGGCAGGCGGGUUGCAGUACAGAUUGCAGGAAGAUGACAGUUUGUUCAAGCACCACUACUACCUGCCACUUGGAGUGCUGCAAUGCCACUACCACCUCAUGCCUCAAACUGUCAGGUGUAGUGAACAUGCCUAGCUCCGCCACCAGGGGUCCUCACUGUCCCGCACUGCUCAUGGCCUCCUUGCUGCUCUUCUGGAUAGUCAAAGUCUUUCCUUGAGUGUAACAAAGUCACAUUUAAUAAGCAAUCCAGGGAAGCACCGUUUUCUGUUAGGAGAGUGUGUGUGUGUGUUUUAAAGCUGAUUGUACUUCUUCUUCUGUCACUUUUACAUUAUUUGUGAUGUAAGCAAAUGAAAGUGUGUGUGUGUGUGUGUGUGUGUGUGUGUGUGUGUGUGUGAGUGUGUGUGUCGGUGUGUGUGUGUGUAAGGUCAGUGUGAGAAGCAGAAUGUGCAUGUGUGUGUAUAUAUAUAUUUAUGUAUAGAUGCCAAAUAAGCUUUACCAUGGGCAUCCGUAGAGAGUUAUGUCAAGUGGAAACAUACCUGUUGUUGGAUUCAUUUCACAGAGAUAGACAGAAAUGAUCCACCAAGAAAUAUAUUAACACUGCAGAGACAAAUAUGAGGUUAGCUUCCUCUCAAGAGUUGUGAUUAAUUAUUGCUCUUUUUGGCAUUAAUGUACACUGUAAGAAAAAGAAAAUCCGUAGAAAAUGCAUGUUGUCUUGGCAGAAAAUUACCAGUAUCACUGUCGUUACGUUUAUGGACAUUUCCUUCAACCUUAAAAUAUAAUGCACAAUUAAAAAUCCUGGAAAAACACCUGUGAAAAAUUAAUAAAUAUUAACAUGGCACAUUGGGCUGUUUUUUUAAUGGACUUUUCUUACAGUGUACAUAUGUUUGAAUUUUGAUUACAGUCAAUCAUAGUUAUCUGAG
RNAcentral lists this long non-coding RNA (1115 nucleotides) under Sinocyclocheilus anshuiensis. RNAcentral describes it as "lncRNA (ENSSANG00000026135.1)". The record is from RNAcentral. Lineage: Eukaryota; Metazoa; Chordata; Actinopteri; Cypriniformes; Cyprinidae.